Molecule: ribosomal RNA, 465 nt
Filed under: Vreelandella stevensii
Lineage: Bacteria; Pseudomonadati; Pseudomonadota; Gammaproteobacteria; Oceanospirillales; Halomonadaceae
Description: partial 16S ribosomal RNA
Rfam family: Bacterial small subunit ribosomal RNA
Source: RNAcentral
CCUACGGGGGGCAGCAGUGGGGAAUAUUGGACAAUGGGCGAAAGCCUGAUCCAGCCAUGCCGCGUGUGUGAAGAAGGCCUUCGGGUUGUAAAGCACUUUCAGUGGGGAAGAAAGCCUUGGGGCUAAUACCCUCGAGGAAGGACAUCACCCACAGAAGAAGCACCGGCUAACUCCGUGCCAGCAGCCGCGGUAAUACGGAGGGUGCGAGCGUUAAUCGGAAUUACUGGGCGUAAAGCGCGCGUAGGCGGUCUGAUAAGCCGGUUGUGAAAGCCCCGGGCUCAACCUGGGAACGGCAUCCGGAACUGUCAGGCUAGAGUGCAGGAGAGGGAGGUAGAAUUCCCGGUGUAGCGGUGAAAUGCGUAGAGAUCGGGAGGAAUACCAGUGGCGAAGGCGGCCUUCUGGACUGACACUGACGCUGAGGUGCGAAAGCGUGGGUAGCAAACAGGAUUAGAUACCCGUGUAGUC